This 497-nucleotide ribosomal RNA is filed under the name uncultured bacterium. Its description in RNAcentral is "partial 16S ribosomal RNA". It matches the Rfam family "Bacterial small subunit ribosomal RNA", at positions 28 to 507 of the family's 1533-position model. The record is from RNAcentral.
GAUGAACGCUGGCGGCGUGCCUAAUACAUGCAAGUCGAGCGAACGGACGAGAAGCUUGCUUUUCUGAUGUUAGCGGCGGACGGGUGAGUAACACGUGGAUAACCUACCUAUAAGACUGGGAUAACUUCGUGAAACCGGAGCUAAUACAGGAUAAUAUUUUGAACCGCAUGGUUCAACAGUGAAAGACGGUCUUGCUGUCACUUAUAGAUGGAUCCGAGCUGCAUUAGCUAGUUGGUAAGGUAACGGCUUACCAAGGCAACGAUGCAUAGCCGACCUGAGAGGGUGUCUGCCCACAUAGGAACUAGGGAACAAUCCAGACUGCUACGGCAGGAGGCAGUAGGGAAUCUUCCGCAAUGAGCGGAAGCCUGACGGAGAAACGCCGCGUGAGAUAUGAAGAACUUCGGAUCGUAAAACUCUGUUAUUAGGGAAGAACAUAUGUGUAAGUAACUGUGCACAUCUUGACGGUACCUAAACAGAAAGCCACGGCUAACUACGUG